RNAcentral lists this ribosomal RNA (468 nucleotides) under uncultured bacterium. RNAcentral describes it as "partial 16S ribosomal RNA". It matches the Rfam family "Bacterial small subunit ribosomal RNA", at positions 28 to 507 of the family's 1533-position model. The record is from RNAcentral.
GACGAACGCUGGCGGCGUGCUUAACACAUGCAAGUCGAACGGAAAGGCCCUGCUUUUGUGGGGUGCUCGAGUGGCGAACGGGUGAGUAACACGUGAGUAACCUGCCCUUGACUUUGGGAUAACUUCAGGAAACUGGGGCUAAUACCGGAUAGGAGCUCCUGCUGCAUGGUGGGGGUUGGAAAGUUUCGGCGGUUGGGGAUGGACUCGCGGCUUAUCAGCUUGUUGGGGGGGUAGUGGCUUACCAAGGCUUUGACGGGUAGCCGGCCUGAGGGGGUGACCGGCCACAUUGGGACUGGGAUACGGCCCAGACUCCUACGGGAGGCAGCAGUGGGGAAUAUUGCACAAUGGGCGGAAGCCUGAUGCAGCAACGCCGCGUGCGGGAUGACGGCCUUCGGGUUGUAAACCGCUUUCGCCUGUGACGAAGCGUGAGUGACGGUAAUGGGUAAAGAAGCACCGGCUAACUACGUG